CGGUGGGAGCAUGUGGUUCAAUUCGAUGCAACGCGAAAAACCUUACCUGGGUUUGACAUCCUUUGACAGUCCCUGAAAGGGGAUCUUCCCGAUUUAUCGGGACAAAGUGACAGGUGCUGCAUGGCUGUCGUCAGCUCGUGUCGUGAGAUGUUGGGUUAAGUCCCGCAACGAGCGCAACCCUUGUCUUUAGUUGCCAAUAUUAAGUUAGGCACUCUAAUGAUACUGCCCCGGUUAACGGGGAGGAAGGUGGGGAUGACGUCAAGUCCUCAUGGCCUUUAUACCCAGGGCUACACACGUGCUACAAUGGGCUAUACAAAGGGCUGCCACUCUGCAAAGAGGAGCUAAUCCCAAAAAGUAGUCCUAAGUUCGGAUUGGAGUCUGCAACUCGACUCCAUGAAGCUGGAAUCGCUUGUAACCGUGGAUCAGCAUGCCACGGUGAAUACAUUCCCGGUCA
RNAcentral lists this ribosomal RNA (454 nucleotides) under uncultured delta proteobacterium. RNAcentral describes it as "bacterial SSU rRNA". It matches the Rfam family "Bacterial small subunit ribosomal RNA", at positions 930 to 1377 of the family's 1533-position model. The record is from RNAcentral. Lineage: Bacteria; Deltaproteobacteria.